GACGAACGUUGGCGGCGUGGAUGAGGCAUGCAAGUCGAACGCGAAAGCCGCAAGGUGAGUAGAGUGGCGGACGGGCGAGUAACACGUAAUCAAGCUACCUGCGAGACGGGGAUAACCUCGGGAAACCGAAGCUAAGACCCGAUGGUUUGCGCGGACCGCAUGGUCCAUGCAAUAAAUGGGCGGGAUCCUCCGGGACCGCCUGCUCGCAGAGGUGAUUGCGGCCCAUCAGCUAGUUGGUAGGGUAACGGCCUACCAAGGCAACGACGGGUAGCCGGCCUUAGAGGGUGGUCGGCCGCACUGGGACUGAGACACUGCCCAGACUCCUACGGGAGGCUGCAGUCGAGAAUCUUCCGCAAUGGGCGAAAGCCUGACGGAGCGACGCCGCGUGGAGGACGAAGGCCUCGGGUUGUAAACUCCUGUCACGAGUUAAGAAGGGUAAGUCCGGCGAACAGCCGGGUGCUUUGACGUAAGCUCGAGAGGAA
Molecule: ribosomal RNA, 482 nt
Filed under: uncultured bacterium
Lineage: Bacteria
Description: bacterial SSU rRNA
Rfam family: Bacterial small subunit ribosomal RNA
Source: RNAcentral